AAAAAAAAAAAAAAAAAAACUUGUCGUCGCCUUCUUCCAAAUCUUUCGUCUGGGGCGAUUCCUCUUACGGCUUCACAUCUCUAUAACUCGCUCUUAAUGGCUCUUCUACGCACCUCCUCUGACGAAGAAACGCUUCCUCAUACUGUAACGGCUCCAGAAUCCUCCUAUAUAUAGAGUUCCUCAAACUCCAGUAGAUAACGCCGCCGCCGCCGUCGCCGUCGCCUACUCCACGUUCGAAUCUCUUCGCCUCGGAAAAACAGCUCAGGCAGUUGUUGGUCGCCUCAUCCGGUUUUGGGAUUCCCGGAACAUCAACAAAAAUGGCGAGUUCAUGGGCAUAACCAUUCUCCUCCUGGAUGAAUUGGACUCGGUGAUUCACGGUUUCAUUCCAGCUAAUCGGGCCAGCCAGUACCGGCCAUCUUAGAAAACGGUUCUAUUGUGAGAUUGGACCGUUUUGAAGUUACACGGGUCGCUCACAUGUACAAGAUCACAGAGCAUCAGUGAUCCGUUUCAUCCCUUCAACGCGUAUUGUUGAGGUCCAAACGGACGCUCCUGUGAUCAAGUUCGACAAGUUCAUGGUGCGGCGUUACGACCACCUUCAAGUGCUUGCGAACACCAACCUAGAGCUUCCUGGUUCCUUGUCGAGCUUGCUGUUGAUGAUGGAAAAGAUAGCGCCACCUUUGUUGUCUUCGAUAAGGAGAUGACCAAACUUACCAAACAGGAAGCUGCUGUUCUUGCCUUGGAUGAGAAUUCAAACGGUGGAGAGGACUAUCUCCCAAGUUGUCUUGAAGGGCUAACGGGGAAGGAGUUUGUGUUUCAGAUCCGUGUCAUGCCUUUCAACUUCACUCCCAACCACCGUACCUUCACUGUCUCCACCAUUACCGAAGACAACACAAUGGCGAACCAUAGCAAGAUUGUCUAAUUUACAUGUCAAUAUCUUUACUGAAAGCACUAUUUUUAAAACAGCACGUACAUGUACUUCAGGAACACUGUGAAAACCUUCUUCCAAACCGUGGAGGUGACUUGGAAUUGGCAGCUUCGUCUUCGGGCCCGUCUGUUUUGGGAGCAAGAUUGGAGAGAAAUGUUUCCUCUUUUAUUGACUUUUCUAUACAUCUCACCGAAUUUUCUUCGCUCUCCUUCUAUGUUUCAACGUUAUUCUUUUA
Long non-coding RNA from Brassica oleracea var. oleracea, 1160 nucleotides. RefSeq lists it as uncharacterized. The record is from RefSeq and is a predicted model, not a curated record. The transcript is spliced from 5 exons. Lineage: Eukaryota; Viridiplantae; Streptophyta; Magnoliopsida; Brassicales; Brassicaceae.